CGGCGGACGGGUGAGUAACGCGUGGGUAACCUGCCUUGUACUGGGGGACAACAGUUAGAAAUGACUGCUAAUACCGCAUAAGCGCACAGUAUCGCAUGAUACAGUGUGAAAAACUCCGGUGGUACAAGAUGGACCCGCGUCUGAUUAGCUAGUUGGUAAGGUAAGGGCUUACCAAGGCGACGAUCAGUAGCCGACCUGAGAGGGUGACCGGCCACAUUGGGACUGAGACACGGCCCAA
This 238-nucleotide ribosomal RNA is filed under the name uncultured bacterium. RNAcentral describes it as "partial 16S ribosomal RNA". It matches the Rfam family "Bacterial small subunit ribosomal RNA", at positions 96 to 334 of the family's 1533-position model. The record is from RNAcentral.